Long non-coding RNA from Zingiber officinale, 1146 nucleotides. RefSeq lists it as uncharacterized. The record is from RefSeq and is a predicted model, not a curated record. Lineage: Eukaryota; Viridiplantae; Streptophyta; Magnoliopsida; Zingiberales; Zingiberaceae. The transcript has 3 exons.
GGCAACGCACAAAAAAAAACAAGCCCUAGCCUCUUCCUCUCGUCGCCUACCUCCAGCGAGCCCUGUCUCCCCUCCCUCCGACGUUCCAGCCCCGGCGACCUCCCUCCCACGACCUCAAGCAAGCCCCGUCCCCCCUCCCUCCCGCGGCGACCUCCAACGACCUCAGCGUCGCCUCCCUCGUUGCCUCCCUCCAGCGAGCCCUGUCCCCCCUCCCUCCGACGUUCCAUCCCCCGACGACCUCCCUCCCACGGCCUCCGGCGCCCACGGCGAACUCCAGCGGUCUCAGUGUCGCCUCCCUCCCUCCAGUGCCCGCGGUGACCUCCAGCGGCCUCAGCGUUGCCUCCCUCCCUGCAGCGCCGUCUCCAGCGCCGGCCUCCCUCGUCACCACUCUCCAGCGCCGCCCUCCUGCACACGCCAACGCACAAAAAAAGCCCUAGCAUCUUCCAACUCCAGCGUCGCCUCCCUCCCUCCAGCGCCGGCCUCCCUCGUCGCCUGCGGCCUCCCUCCAGCGCCCUCUCCAGUCGCCUCCCUCGAAUUCGAUUCCAGCGACCUCCGUCCUUGGCACCGUGUGGACAGAGCAAUUUGAAGAUUAUUUAAGCAAUGCAAGCGGUGUUGUGCAUUUGGAACGGAUCUUGAUCUUUGAAGAUCUCUGUCAAAGAUCCAACUAUCAUUGUGCAAAGAAGAAAGAGAACUAAGCACCAACUGGGUUCAAGACAAAAAAUGAACGUAUUUUUUUUUAAAGAUAAAGCAAGCACACAGGAGAUAUCGGAUCAAGUAAGAAGUCAGAGAAGAGUUGACUUUGUUUCUCACGCUGAUCAGGACGGGCACCAAGAACAGUUGCUUGGUCUCUGACCUACUCCCAAGCUGCUAGCUCUUUGGCUGUCGAGAUAUAAUGGAUGUUGAUCUAGUGAUGGAGAAUGAUGAGACUAAUUUUGAAGCCUAAAUAUUGAAGGAAAAGUCCUUGGAUCAUCCCUAACUAUUAUUUUCUUCUUAAUACAUGGGUUGCUUAUGCUUGAGGCAGUGUAUGUCAAUUAUUUACAGCAAAUUUAUAUGAAAUUAACUCAUCUGAGUUUGUAAUUUAUUUCACCAAGAAUUUUCUUGUAGCAUUCUACUUGGAAAUCCCAAAUAAGAUAUUCAAGUCAUUAA